Molecule: unclassified non-coding RNA, 679 nt
Filed under: Hevea brasiliensis (rubber tree)
Lineage: Eukaryota; Viridiplantae; Streptophyta; Magnoliopsida; Malpighiales; Euphorbiaceae
Source: RNAcentral
GAGUAGGUGGCGUCUAGGUUGACCUGCAAUUGAUGUUUUGAUCAAUGUCCCAACAAUUAAGACAGCAUUAUCUUGCAAGUUUCAUUGUGACUAUAGAAUGAUAAGCAAAACAAAUUAUCAAACCCAACAAAUAGCAAACAACGAACAUGUUGAUAAAAAUAAAUAAAUAAAUAAUAGGGACUUAUUAAUCCAUGGACAGCUCGCAACCUAUUUGGAUUAUGAUAGGUUACUACUGAAAUUAUGAUAUUGCACCAUCAAAAGUCUCAGGAAAGUAGGAUGCAAACCAUGCAAUAAUCACAAACACACAUGAACUGAAUUUGAUUCUUGUGGAGAAAAAACACUUGGCACAACUCAAGUCACAAGAUAAAUUAACUUCAUAUGAAAGUUUUUGUGAAAUUGAUUUGGUUCAAACAUCCAAUAUCUAAAGUACAUGUAAUCCACUAGAUUGCAGGAUGUGAGGCAGACACUUAGUUGGCAAAAAUUGAAAAAAUAACACUAAAAAAAAAGAGUUAUCAAACAAUUAGAGAUACUAGUACAUGAAGCAGAAUAAAGAUAACCGCUUCAAGUCUUCACCAAUAACAAUAAACAAUUGCCAGCUAUAACUAUUCGGCAUUGUAUAAAAAAAAAUAACAAUAAUACAAAGCAACACUUGCUAACCCCGAAAAAUAUGUCGGAAAUG